Molecule: ribosomal RNA, 207 nt
Filed under: uncultured bacterium
Lineage: Bacteria
Description: partial 16S ribosomal RNA
Rfam family: Bacterial small subunit ribosomal RNA
Source: RNAcentral
CGUGUAGGCGGUUUGGCAAGUCGAGUGCGAAAUCCCACGGCUCAACCGUGGAACUGCGCUCGAAACUGCCUUACUUGAGUGCGGGAGAGGUGUGCGGAAUUCCUGGUGUAGCGGUGGAAUGCGUAGAUAUCAGGAAGAACACCGGUGGCGAAGGCGGCACACUGGCCCAGCACUGACGCUGAGGCGCGAAAGCGUGGGGAGCGAACG